AGGAUGAACGCUGGCGGCGUGCUUAACACAUGCAAGUCGAACGAUGAAGGCUGGAGCUUGCUCUGGCUGGAUUAGUGGCGAACGGGUGAGUAACACGUGAGUAACCUGCCCCUGACUCUGGGAUAAGCGCUGGAAACGGCGUCAAUACCGGAUACGAGCUUCCACCGCAUGGUGAGGAGCUAGGAAAGAAUUUUCGGCUGGGGAUGGACUCGCGGCCUAUCAGCUUGUGGUGAGGUAUGGCUCACCAGGCGACGACGGGUAGCCGGCCUGAGAGGGUGACCGGCAGCGUAGGACUGAGCACGGCCCAGACGUACCUACGGGAGCAGCUAG
This 330-nucleotide ribosomal RNA is filed under the name uncultured soil bacterium. RNAcentral's name for it is "bacterial SSU rRNA". It matches the Rfam family "Bacterial small subunit ribosomal RNA", at positions 26 to 358 of the family's 1533-position model. The record is from RNAcentral.